UACGGGGGGAGCAAGCGUUGUUCGGAUUUACUGGGCGUAAAGAGCGCGCAGGCGGUCGUGCAAGUCGCGUGUGAAAGCCCCCGGCUCAACUGGGGAGGGUCACGCGAUACUGCUCGACUUGAAGGCAGGAGAGGGAAGCGGAAUUCCUGGUGUAGCGGUGAAAUGCGCAGAUAUCAGGAAGAACACCCGUGGCGAAGGCGGCUCUCUGGGACGGUACUGACGCUGAGACGCGAAAGCGUGGGGAGCGAACAGG
This 253-nucleotide ribosomal RNA is filed under the name uncultured bacterium. Its description in RNAcentral is "partial 16S ribosomal RNA". It matches the Rfam family "Bacterial small subunit ribosomal RNA", at positions 524 to 776 of the family's 1533-position model. The record is from RNAcentral.